GUGCUUGCUUCGGCAGCACAUAUACUGAAAUUGGAAUGAUACAGAGAAAAUUAGCUGGGCCCUGCACAAGGAUGACACACAAAUUCGUGAAUUCCAUAUUUUU
Molecule: small nuclear RNA, 103 nt
Filed under: Castor canadensis (American beaver)
Lineage: Eukaryota; Metazoa; Chordata; Mammalia; Rodentia; Castoridae
Source: RNAcentral